RNAcentral lists this non-coding RNA (414 nucleotides) under uncultured Enterobacter sp. Lineage: Bacteria; Pseudomonadati; Pseudomonadota; Gammaproteobacteria; Enterobacterales; Enterobacteriaceae. The record is from RNAcentral.
GUUUUUCAGCGUGCUCUCCAGCGGCUUGAUAUAGAGGCUGUUGUUACGCAGCCGCACGUCACCUUUGGCCGUCGUCAUCUCGCCAUCGAGCGGGAUAUCCAGAUGUAAGCGAGCAUUCACAUCGCCAUCCAGCUGCAGCUGCUGUAGGGUAGCGGCCAGCGACUCUUUCAGCGGCGUAUUCUCAAAGUACGGGCCAACGGCGUUGCCCGGGCCGUUGAUAUCCGCAUCGAUGAGUAAUUUCUCUUUUGAAUAAUCCGGAAUGUUUGCCGUCAGGUUGCUGGCCGUUACGCCGCCCAGCGCAACGCUGUCGGACUUCAUCCACAAUCCGUCAUUCAGGAAGUUGAGUUCGAUAUCCAGAUUUUUCAGCGCGGGCCAGCCCGGCUGGAAGGCAAAGGUGGCAUUGUGCAGCGGCAC